RNAcentral lists this ribosomal RNA (274 nucleotides) under uncultured bacterium. Its description in RNAcentral is "partial 16S ribosomal RNA". It matches the Rfam family "Bacterial small subunit ribosomal RNA", at positions 524 to 794 of the family's 1533-position model. The record is from RNAcentral.
UACGGAGGAUCCAAGCGUUAUCCGGAAUCAUUGGGUUUAAAGGUCCGGUUAAGGCGGCCGUUAUAAGUCAGUGGUGAAGCCCAUCGCUCAACGAUGGAACUGCCAUUGAUACUGUAAGGCUUGAAUUAUUGUGAAGUAACUAGAAUAUGUAGUGUAGCGGUGAAAUGCUUAGAUAUUACAUGGAAUACCAAUUGCGAAGGCAGGUUACUAACAAUGGAUUGACGCUGAUGGACGAAAGCGUGGGGAGCGGAACAGGAUUAGAUACCCCUGUAGU